UACAGAGGGUGCAAGCGUUGUUCGGAUUUAUUGGGCGUAAAGCGCGUGUAGGCGGCUUUGCAAGUCGGGUGUGAAAUCCCUCAGCUCAACUGAGGAAGUGCGCCCGAAACUGCAGAGCUUGAGUACCGGAGAGGAUGGUGGAAUUCCCCAAGUAGAGGUGAAAUUCGUAGAUAUGGGGAGGAACACCGGUGGCGAAGGCGACCAUCUGGACGGAUACUGACGCUGAGACGCGAAAGCGUGGGUAGCAAACAGG
Molecule: ribosomal RNA, 253 nt
Filed under: uncultured prokaryote
Description: partial 16S ribosomal RNA
Rfam family: Bacterial small subunit ribosomal RNA
Source: RNAcentral